GAAAUGCGAUAAGUAGUGUGAAUUGCAGAAUUCAGUGAAUUAUCGAAUCUUUGAACGUACAUUGCGCCCUUUGGUAUUCCUUAGGGCAUGCCUGUUCGAGCGUCAUCUAAACCUUUAAGCACUGCUUGGUGUUGGGUGCCUGUCCCGCCCCUGCGCGUGGACUCACCUUAAAUCUAUUGGCGGCCCUUACGUCGGCUUUGAGCGCAGUAGAAACGCGAACUCGAGGCCUGUUGGAGCGGCUCCUAGAAGCUAUAUUCACUAUUUUGACCUCGGAUCAGGUAGGGAUACCUGCUGAACUUAA
Molecule: unclassified non-coding RNA, 301 nt
Filed under: uncultured fungus
Lineage: Eukaryota; Fungi
Description: sequence contains ITS1
Rfam family: 5.8S ribosomal RNA (bases 1-105)
Source: RNAcentral